CGAGAGUAAGCUAAUCUCUUAAAGCCGUUCUCAGUUCGGACUGUAGGCUGCAACUCGCCUACACGAAGUCGGAAUCGCUAGUAAUCGCGGAUCAGCAUGCUGCGGUGAAUACGUUCCCGGGCCUUGUACACACCGCCCGUCACACCAUGGGAGUUUGUAACGCCCGAAGCCGGUGACCCAACCAAACGGAGGGAGCCGUCGAAGGUGGGACCGAUAACUGGGGUGAAGUCGUAACAAGGUAAC
This 243-nucleotide ribosomal RNA is filed under the name uncultured bacterium. Its description in RNAcentral is "partial 16S ribosomal RNA". It matches the Rfam family "Bacterial small subunit ribosomal RNA", at positions 1258 to 1500 of the family's 1533-position model. The record is from RNAcentral.